GACGAACGCUGGCGGCGUGCCUAAUACAUGCAAGUCGAGCGAACUUGCGGGAGCUUGCUCCCAAAAGUUAGCGGCGGACGGGUGAGUAACACGUGGGCAACCUGCCUGUAAGACUGGGAUAACUUCGGGAAACCGGAGCUAAUACCGGAUAAUUCUUUUCUGCUCAUGCAGAAAAGCUGAAAGAUGGUUUCGGCUAUCACUUACAGAUGGGCCCGCGGCGCAUUAGCUAGUUGGUGAGGUAACGGCUCACCAAGGCAACGAUGCGUAGCCGACCUGAGAGGGUGAUCGGCCACACUGGGAAUGAGACACGGCCCAGACUCCUACGGGAGGCAGCAGUAGGGAAUCUUCCGCAAUGGACGAAAGUCUGACGGAGCAACGCCGCGUGAGUGAUGAAGGUUUUCGGAUCGUAAAACUCUGUUGUUAGGGAAGAACAAGUACCGGAGUAACUGCCGGUACCUUGACGGUACCUAACCAGAAAGCCACGGCUAACUACGUGC
Molecule: ribosomal RNA, 497 nt
Filed under: uncultured bacterium
Lineage: Bacteria
Description: bacterial SSU rRNA
Rfam family: Bacterial small subunit ribosomal RNA
Source: RNAcentral